This is a long non-coding RNA of Aedes albopictus (Asian tiger mosquito), 8199 nucleotides long. RefSeq lists it as uncharacterized. The record is from RefSeq and is a predicted model, not a curated record. The transcript is spliced from 3 exons. NCBI's taxonomy places the organism in Eukaryota, Metazoa, Arthropoda, Insecta, Diptera, Culicidae.
AUUUCCGGAAUACUGAAUAGGGAAAUCUCGAGGAAUUCCCUGAAGAACUCCCAGAAAGAAAUCUUAUAAAAACUCGAAGAUCAAUUUCCGGAGGAGCUACCUGAAGAAUUUAUAGAAGAAUGUCUAGAUAAAUUCCUGGAAGAAUUCCUAGACGAGAUUCUGGUGAACUUUUUGAAGAUGUUCCGGAGGAACUCCUAGAGGAAUUUUUGAAGGAAAUCCUAGAGGAAUCUAGGAUCUAGAUUCCCGGAGAAACCCAUCGAGAAAAUACUGGGGUAGGAACUCCUUCAGGAAUUCCCGGUUAAACUCCCAUAGGCAUUUCCUGGAGAACUUCUCGAGAAAUUUAUGUACGAACACUUAGAAAAAAUCACAUUUGAAAAAUUUCCAAAAGAACUCCUAGGAAAAUUCCUGGAGGAACUCCUAGAAUAAAAUCAAAUUGAAACUCCUAGAGGAAUUCCCGGAGCAACUCUUAGAAAGAAAUAUGAUAGGAGCUCGAAGAGUAAUUUCCGGAUGAACUCCUAGAGGAAUUUUUGAUGGAACUCCCAAGAAAACUCCCGGAAGGACUCCUAGCGAAAUUCUUGGAAUUCCUAGAGUUAUUUUCGGGGAGACUUCUAGAAAAAAUUUCCUCUUGGAACUUCUAUAGCAAUUCCCAGAAGACCACCUAGCGGAUUAACCGGAGAAACUCCUCGAGGAAUUCCUUGAGGAAUCCUCGGAGAAUCUCUCAGAGAAAUUCUAGAGAAAUUCCCGGAUGAUCUCAUAAAAAAAUCCAAUCGGUACUUCUGAAAGAGUUUCCGGAGAAACUCCUAGAAGAGCUUCUUGAAAAAAUUCUGGACGAAUUUCUGGUAGAAUUUUCCGAGAAACUCCUCGAGGAAAUCCAGGAGUAACUCCUGAAAAAAGGCAUGUUCAACUUCUAGAGGAAUUUCUAGAGGUAUUCCUAGAGAUAUUUCCGGAGAGAUUUCUCAAGAAAUUCUUGGAGGUACUCCUACAGGAAUUAGAGGUAUACUACUUAAGAAUUGUUUGGAGGAGUUCCUAACGGAAUUGUUGAAUGAUCACCAAGAGUAAUUCCCGAAAAAAUUCUUAGGAUUCCCGGAAGAACUUGUACAGAAAUUCCUAGAGGAACUCCUAGAGUAAUUCUUGGAGGAAAUCCUAAUAGAAUUCCCGGCGAGACCAUAGGAACUCUCGGAGAAACUUCUAAACGAAGCCCCGCAGAAACUGCUGGACAAAUUACUAAGGGUGGGAACUCGUUCAGGAAUUCCCGGAGAAAUUCCUAUAGGCACAUUUCCGGAAGAACCUCUCGAAGAAUUCCAGAACAAACUCUUAGAAAAUAUGCAUUUGAACUUUUUAAAGGUUCCUAGAGAAACUUCUGGAGGAACUCUUAGAGGCAAUCUCAAGAGAGCUCUUUGGGGAAUUCCUAGAGAAACUCCUAGAAAAAAAAAAUGCAAUUGAAACUCCUAGAGGAACUCGCGGAGGACCGACUAGAGAAAUCCCGAGGAAUUCUUUGAGGAACUCCUACAAAGAAAUCUCAUAGGCACUCGAAAAGCAAUUUCUGGAAGAACUUCUAGAGGAAUUUCCGGAAGAACUCAAGAAGAAUUCCUGGAGACACUCGAAAAGGAUUUCACGAAGUAGCUUCUAGUGAAAUCCCUAGAGAAACUCCAAAGAGUUUCCUUUGGCAGUCUUCGAGGAAUUCCCGGAGGAACUUAUAGAAAAAAUCCUACUUCUAGAAGAAUUUCUAGAAAAACUCCUAGACAAUCUACUAGAGGGAUUCCUUGAGGAUUUUCUACAGGAGAUUUGCGAGGAACUUUGGGAAGAAUUCUCGGAGGAACUCCCCAAGAAUAUCCUGGAGAAGCUCGUAGAAAAAAAAAUCUUUUGAACUUCUAGAAAUUUUCUGGAAUUUCUUGGUUGGGCUCCAAAAGGUAUUUCUGGAGACACUUCCCAAGGUAUUUCCAGAGGAACUCGUAGAGGUACUCCUAGAGGAUUUUUUGGAGGAACACCUUGAGGAUUUCCGGGAGGAACUUCUCAAGAAAUCUCCUGAAGACUGCCUUGAAGGACACCUUGAGGAAUUCGUGGAGGACCUCCUAGAGAAAUUUCUGGAGGUACUUCAAGAGGAAUUCCUAGAGAAAUUCUCGAAGGAAAUCCAUUGAAUUUCUAGAUGAAUUUCCGGAUGAUAAAAAAAUAUUCACCGAUCCACCCAAAAUCAUCGGGUAUACCAUAUAUGAUUUCUAUGAAAUUCGUAGCUCUCCUAUGAGUCGACGCUUACAACCGACUAGAGUUUCGAGCAGUUUUAUUUUCUCUGUAUGUUUGAAUGAAAUAUGUUAAAUAAAUUUGAAUCUAUAAAAUGUUUCUGUUUUGUUUAAGUUUUGAGAAGAUUUAGUUUAUUUUCUCUUAGUUUUCCAUGUAAACCUUGAAUUGCAAUCAAUGCAAUGCAAUGAAUGCAAAUCAAUGCAUUUGCUGCUACAUAAAAUCAUUGAUUGAGUAUUCGAGCAACUUGCUCGAACUGCACGAAAUCAUUUUCAUAGCAACUAUUUCGCAGCUACCAAACGCACCUGCCCUGUCAGGACGGCGUUUGUUUAUACCGUGCUCUAUUGUUCUCCCAUCUGCGGGCAUCCAUCCACAGCCUUCAGCCGGGAGAGUUUUUUUUCUCUUCUGCUUUGUUGGUAUCUACUGAAAUGAGAAAAUUGAGGUCGGUGUGGAUCACCGUUUUUGUGGUUGCCAAUAAUGAUUUGAGAUCCUACCUUUAGAUACAAGAGGUUUGAUAAGUCUAACCAUUUAUGAUUCCAUGCUGUGAUAGUAUUUAGUUUCAAUAUAAAUGAAAACACAAUGAAAUGCUCGAUGAAACAAUAGUGGAAAUCUUCUCCGACGUCAAGCAUAAUAAGAAGUAACUCUGCUUGUUAUAUAUAAUUCGCCAUGCAUUUUAUUGCUGAAUCAAUACAAUACACUUAUUCUUGUUCUACUUCUUCGUAACUCCCGUCUUUUGGACUCAACCUGCUACUUAGCUUGUAAUUAUAAAGCAAAUAGCUAAGUGGUUUCUAUGAUCGAUGAAUCAUUUUCGCAUUCUUAUAUCGUAUAUGCAUGCUAAGAUACCCAUAGCCUUGGAUAACAACGAUAAUUUAUGUAAAGUUUAUGUACUGAUCAAGAAACGAGCUCAGACACCAUCAGUAUAUUCUUGAUGAAUGCCCGACCUUUUACUGAGUCAGUUAUAUUCACAUCUUUCAUUAUUAUAUUUGUUUACAUUAUUUUCUUUCUCUGCAAAUCUUCUACCAUAUCCAUGUUAUAACUUUUGUCACUGAGGACAAAAUGAAAACCAGAAUGUUGAUACAAAACCAUCUUGUACAACUUUGGCUAUACUGAACCAUAAACUCAUUUCAAAAUAAUCCUGGCCACACUGCCAACCCCGAACGAGUGGGACAAGCUGCCUCUCCGAGAGAGCUAAAACGUGCUUUUUCAACGGCAGCACGUGGUAAUUUCAAAUUUUCAACGGACGAGCUUGACCUCAGACCUUAAAAGUGAUCACCGAUGACCGGAAGCUGACAGACGAAAUUCUUCAAACCGCCUUAGUGGAAGCCGAAAACUUGGUGAACUCUCGUCCCCUUACGUAUGUGUCCACUAAUGUGAGCGACGACAAAGAGGCCUUGACACCAAAUCAUUUUUUGUGUGGACGUUCAUCACUUGAGUGUCUGCCAGCGAAACAUCCGAUAGACUUAGCCGAUACGUUACGGAGCAGUUAUAAUCGAGCGCAGUUUCUAGCGGAUAAAUUCUGGGGCCGUUGGCAGAAAGAAUAUUUGCCGAUUUUGAACAAGAGACCGAAGUGGUUUGUGGAUCAACGGCAAGUAUCGGUUGGAGACCUGGUCUUCGUUGCUGAUGGAGAAAGACGGACUAACUGGGAGCGAGGCAUAGUGAAGGCAGUAUUCACAGGAAGCGAUGGACGCAUUCGCUCGGCGUCUAUUCAGACGAGCAGAGGAGAGAAAAUUCGGCCGGUGGCGAAGAUAGCAGUUCUGGAACUGGCAUAGGCACUGAUCCGCACUGAUCCGCACUGAAGAGGUUUACGGGUGGGGGGAUGUUACCACCGGCCAUGAAAGGGUCGACGAGCGACCGUCGUCGUUGUCGUCGUCGUGAGAAACUGUGAACGCAACCGGAGCGAGCGAACGCACACGGUGUUGUUGUUGUUGUCUCGUGUAUGUAGGCAAGUGGUACACCGUGUGGAAAGAGGAGAAACGGCAAACACUGCAUCCACUGCAUUUCUACCAUUGUGGGAAUAGGCUAUGUGAUGGAUAUGAAGAUGGGGAUUCCCCCAUCGUAAUUUUACCUAUUCGUGUUAGAACUGUUUGUACCGUCCAUUAGUGAAGAAGUUUAGAUCUUGUCGUCUAUUUUCCAUCGUUAAUUCCGUCCUCUAGAGUAGUCGUGAUUGUUUUUGACUACUGUUGUUUGCCGUAAGAUUUGUAUAGUAGUAAAUGUUCCUUGUUGUAAUUCGUGAUUUGAUUUGUAGGAUCGCCCUUGCAAUCCCCAAAGUAGGAGUUUUGUAGUGGUUUUGAUUGUGGAAAAAAAACUAGAUUGUAAGUUGUAAGUGAAUAUAAUUAUAUGUAAAUAUUAGUGUAUAAAUCAAUCAAUGGUAAUAUAUUUUAGUUGAGUUUUUUUAUCCACGGAAAUACUCGGGAUCGUUUAAUUAUUCACACCCGACGGGUGCGAACAUUGCUUUAAAAUGAUUGCAUUCUACUUACAAAUGAUGUUCUUCCUGAACUUUACGUGCCAUCGAAGAAGCUUCUCUGCAUCUUGAGCUGUCAUAGUUUUGUUGAUAAAAAAAAAACAACAACAAUCGAGAAUGGGAAACUUCUCAACUAGGUUUUGAAACGGGUUUAUUGCUACUUAUAAUGCGGUUGUCAAAACCUCUCCGAGAGUGGCCCACUUAGCCGGAAGAUGCUCUUAAGGUGAAACAUCAAGAAAUCCCAUUGCAAUUUUGCAUACGCACUUGUUAAUCAUGGCUUUGCUCACUUGCAAAAAGAGGCAGCUUUUCCAAAUUGAGCAAAUUUGAUUACGAAUCUUUAAGAUCGGUGCUCUUGAAAACGUGAGUAGGAGUUCAAGUCGGCCAUUGUGGCAGCCAUAUUUGUAUUCUCUGAAGUUUCUCCUUAAAGAGGUUAUUAAGAGGUUUUGAUGUAUAAAUCAGUUUUAUUGCAAGUUUUAAAAAUAUGGCCAAGAAGAUCUUUUGUAGAGCCGAACAAAACUUAAAAUGUUACUUGGGUCUCGUCAACUACGCUUCUCCGACCUUGCUGGAUAAAAAGACGAACUGGUAGGGAUAGUAACCGCGCAUGCUGCUUCCACUAGCAUCUCCAACCAUUCUACAAAAUUCGACAGCGUAACAGAUUGAAGUUGAGUUUUAAAGUUCAUGUCAGUCUGUCGACUAGCUCUUGAAGUAGAGCUACGUUGUAUAACUGUUCAUCGAGUCCACAAGCUUUGAUUGUAGCACACAUAUUUUGAUCGGCAACGCCAAAGUCAAUGAGCGUCGAGAGCUUUUCUGUUUUUGGCGAUAGCAUGUUCCGAAUCUUGAAUAACAGAGAAUGGAUUAUCGUCCGAACAAGGUUCGCAACGUUUGAAGCACGCCAGUCCAGCUGGGUACAACAAGCGACUGCGAACCGCUUCUAGAGCUUUGCCUUUGAGACUGAGUUGCAAACGAAGCACUAUACCCACACAUUCUGGUUGUAUUUUCGUAGGUUGCUAUGAAAAGCGGCCACUCCUCCGGUGCGCCAGAGAACGUCGGUAGCUCUUUUGCCACCGCUUGGCGUGCGGCAAGCUGACUUCGACUCAACUCAGCAUGUGGUUGUGAAAAUUGGAAAAGGUCUGCUGUUGGUGUGAAACCCUAUAGGCUUCUUGAUCCAUUCCUGCAGCUUUACCGACCUGAUCUGAAUCAUCGCCAGCAACAUCGUUGAACUGCAUAAGCCUCAACCGUUCUUCUAAAUGUUUCAUUUCAAGCACCUAUUUUUUGGCUAACAGUGCUAACUGCCAUUCGAUUCCUGCUGCUCCUUCUUCUGAUGUAGUCCGACGAGGUUCAGUAACUCGAUUCGUCCCAGCUAUUGCUGUUGAGUUUGCACUCGGCUGGAUCUGAAUGAUUGGUGCCCUCAGUCCUGACGAACGCUGGAACAUGGGACUCGGUUGGUUUCUGGAGCUGCGAGUCUGAUCGACCGUAUUCUGCGGUUCGGUUUGCCUCAACAGAGUUUCAAAAUGAAUCCUUUGUCGAUCCAAUGCUUUCCUUUGGUCCUCCACUUUCGCUUUUAAUAAACGUUCGAAGCUCUUCUGUUGUUCUGCCAUCAUCUGCUGCAUGUUCUCCAUCUGAUUCUGCUACACCUGGUACUCUGCAGACUGACUUGAUGUUGAUAUCGUUGCCGUGGUUCUGGUCCCAGGUGCCGUUAACGGGAUAGCGCCCGCUACGCCCGGAUCCGCUAUACAGUUGCUACAGCUCCAAUCCACGUUAGCUAUGCUUUUAUCCACGCUCACACACUCAAAGUGAUACUACCCUCCACAGAUAUCGCAACACACCAUUCGACUGUUUUCCCCAGAUUCACAGAUCUUGUAGCUUGAGAACUGCCCCGUAGCGUUUUGAACGGUACAAAUCUCUGAAUCAUCGUUUUGCUCGAACCGCACAUUUGACCGCUUAUUUGACCCCUUUUUCAUAAUGAGAUUGACAGCACUUUCCGAUCGCGUUAACGAAAAUUCAAAUUUGUUGCCUAUACAUCGAAUUUGUUUCCGAUAUUUUAAACUCACUUUAUUAACUACUGUAGGGUUAGAAUUUUCCUGCAAGGAAAAUUUUCUCGACUCUCUGGGCAUAGUGUAUCAUUGCGCUUGCCUCACAAUAUACAAAUUCAUGCAAUGGCUGGCAAAGAAAGCUCUCCAAUUAAUAACUGUGGAAGUGCUCAAAAGAACACUAAGUUGGAGAGAGUCAGGCCAAGUCCCAGUUGGGACGUAGAGCCAUAAAGAAGAAGAAGAAGAUCAACAUCAAAUCUGACUAUACAUGUCAAUGGUUGCUCCUCCGUGAUUGAUCUGAGCUGGUACUAAUUGUACUGAGAUCCAAAUGAAUAAGGGAUGGGAUACUCCACUUAUUCUCAAAGUGCAAUUUAAGCAGCUCAUUUAUUUUUGAUCAAUAACGGCGCCGGUCACGUCUUAUAGUCAGUUGGGAAGGCAUAGGGAUGUUAGAGUGAGCUGGUUGUUCCUACUUAAGACCGAGAUCACCUCUGCAUCCUCACAACCAGCAGCCAGUGUUGCGAAACUCAUGCUCACGAGUAAAAAAUACUCACUCACCUUACUCAUUUGCGAGUAAUGCUCACGCUGUGAGUUACUCGCGUAUGAGUAUACUCACGCGUGAGUAAUGACUAAGUUAUUUUUGUUGGUUUGAAAUGAUGUUUUCGUUUGUUCUGUACUGCAAUGGUGAUUAUUUAUAUACAAGGCACAGUUUUCGAGGAAAGGUGGAUCUGCUCGAGAGCUUUGGCACCAUAGGCUAAAAACUCUUAUUGUUUACCUACGCAUGCAAAGUAAUAUCAUCAAUUAGGAAAUCUCUAUAUUUCACCACACUUUGUCAAUGGUAUAACUUUUUUCGCAUACGUCGGGUUACUUUACGGUAUUCAAUAAAGAUGUUUGGCAUAUAUUUACCUAACUUCAAAUUUAAAAUGGUAGGGUCAAUUGCAGCAUCUCCUAGGUCCAAACAUUUAAAACUUUUCUUUUCUGCAUACAUUUGAUCGUUUUUUUUUUCCAUGUGGCUAGUUUCUAUUACUGUGCAAUAAUAUAGGGCAUAUAAUGGACAAAUAGUGGUUUCGCUUCAAAAUUACUUGAGUAGGCAAGUAAGGAGAAAAAGUUUUACACUGGUAACGCCUCCCUUGUAAAUCUAAAAGAGCUGUAGUUUUUUCUGCGCGGAAAAAUAGUCCGUUCUAUUAUUCCGUAAGGAAAAGUAACGUUUUUCCUCAUACUAAACACUUGAUCAAUUUGUAAUUUAAAAUUUACAAAAAAUAGUAAAUUUACUUGAGUACUCAACUUUCGAACAUGAAACUUACACACUAAACGCAUCCAGCAAAGCAAAAUCCAGCAAAACGAAUAGUUGAUUUUUAAGCAAUUUUUUGCUAGAAUCCGGUACAACUUUGUGCCCUAUCAGCACAAAUUGCUGGAUGUUUAAUAAAAAAGUGCUUAGACUUGAUAGAAUUGAAACAAAACUUUAUUGGAACUUAU